CCCCCCUGACUACUUGAAUACCGAGACUUGGAAACCGGUUUGCGAAUUGUUCGUUAGCGAGGCAUUUUUGAAUCGUUCAACUAAAAAUAAAUCGAAUCGGCAACUAAUGAAAUAUCCAACAACGCAAGGCACAAAAUCGUUGGCGUCCAUACGCCACGGAAUGGGGGGUCCUCCUGGAGAGCAUGUAGUUGAAGCAUGGAAGGAGAUCCAUGUGAAAAAACCGUCUGGAACUUUCGUUAAUGAAUUAGCUGCAAAAGAUUAUGAGGAACUGAUCAAGGAGCUUGAUAGGAAGCGACUGGAACGACAAUCCCAGAGCG
Molecule: long non-coding RNA, 317 nt
Organism: Cannabis sativa
Lineage: Eukaryota; Viridiplantae; Streptophyta; Magnoliopsida; Rosales; Cannabaceae
Exons: 3
Source: RefSeq, a predicted model, not a curated record